Molecule: ribosomal RNA, 1125 nt
Filed under: Triticum aestivum (bread wheat)
Lineage: Eukaryota; Viridiplantae; Streptophyta; Magnoliopsida; Poales; Poaceae
Description: partial small subunit ribosomal RNA
Source: RNAcentral
AUGGGAUUCCGGGACUUUGCUCAAUUCAACCUAGCUUUGCUAGGAAAACACGGUUGGAGGCUCAUUACACAUCCCAAUUCCUUGUGCUCCAGAGUUUUAAAGGGCAAGUAUUUCCCUAACUGUCAUUUUUUGGAGGCAACAGCACCCAAGUCUGCAUCCACAACAUGGAAGGCCAUAAUUGCCGGUCGUGCUGCGGUUGAAACUGGACUGAUCAAAAGGGUGGGGAAUGGUGAUUCCAUCUCCAUAUGGGAAGAUCGUUGGAUCCCCAACACUUCCACGCUCAAGCCCAUAGGGCGUCUUGGCAAUGAUCAUGUUCAAAAGGUGUCAGAGUUAAUUGACCAUCAGAAUGGGUCUUGGCUGGUGGAUAAGGUACAUAGCAUUUUCCUUGCUCCGGGUGCAGAUGCAACAUUAAACAUUCCGUUAAGAGCUUCUUGUGGGGAGGACUUCUAUGCUUGGGCCUUGGAAAAAUCAGGUGUUUAUUCUGUCAAAACGGCAUAUCGUGCUCUAAUGACUCGGAUCGAGCAAUCAGCUCAAGAGGAAGGAACGAUAGCGGAAACUUCAUCGUCAAAUAAACACCUUUGGACAGCCUUGUGGAAACUCAAGGUCAUUCCAAGAGUCCGCGUCUUUUGGUGGCGAGUCUUGCGAGGUAUUUUGCCGGACUACGUCACUCUGCAACAUCGCCAUAUUAGGAGGAUGGCGAGAUGCGAUCUAUGCAAUGCGGCAGAGGAAGAUCUGCAACAUGCAGUUGUAGCCUGCUCACACGCCAAGCAGUAUUGGUCUGCAGCGAGAGACCUUUUGGGCCUCAAACUACCCAGAUUACAUCCUGCGACUUGGGCGAAGGACAUAUUGAUGGACGACAUGAUCGCAGACCAAGAUAGAUGCAAGAUUGUGACUAUCAUGCAUGCAAUAUGGUCUGCCAGAAAUCGACGGACUCAUGACAAGGUUCCGUUCAAUCCUUUUCAUGCUGUGAAGACCAUCCGAGAUGAUCUACUACUUCUAGAAAUUCCAAAACCUGCUAGUGCUGUCUUGGGGGUGCAAUGGUGCCCACCUGAUGUUGGCUGGGUCGAAAUCAACACGGAUGGGGCGAUAAACAGCGAAGUACAUUGUGCUGGGGAGGUGGUGUAG